UUUUAGCCCUGAUUAAAGUGAAAAUCCUUUCUAGUUCUGAAAUUGUUUCAGGAUUCUGAAACAAUUUCAGAACUAGAAAGAUUGUAGCGGAAAGCAGGAAAUAGC
This 105-nucleotide small RNA is filed under the name Flavobacterium sinopsychrotolerans. Its description in RNAcentral is "Flavo-1 RNA". It matches the Rfam family "Flavo-1 RNA". The record is from RNAcentral. Lineage: Bacteria; Pseudomonadati; Bacteroidota; Flavobacteriia; Flavobacteriales; Flavobacteriaceae.